Molecule: ribosomal RNA, 340 nt
Filed under: uncultured bacterium
Lineage: Bacteria
Description: bacterial SSU rRNA
Rfam family: Bacterial small subunit ribosomal RNA
Source: RNAcentral
AGCAGUAGGGAAUCUUCGGCAAUGGGGGGAACCCUGACCGAGCAACGCCGCGUGAGUGAAGACGGCCUUCGGGUUGUAAAGCUCUGUUGUAAGGGAAGAACUGAUAUGAGAGAAUCGUAUCUUGACGGUACCUUACCAGAAAGCCACGGCUAACUACGUGCCAGCAGCCGCGGUAAUACGUAGGUGGCGAGCGUUAUCCGGAAUUACUGGGCGUAAAGGGUGCGCAGGCGGUCUUUUAAGUUUAAGGUGAAAGCGUGGGGCUCAACCCCAUAUAGCCUUAAAUACUGGAAGACUAGAGUACUGGAGAGGGAAGUGGAAUUCCAUGUGUAGACGGUGGAAU